This is a non-coding RNA of Pelobates cultripes (western spadefoot toad), 231 nucleotides long. NCBI's taxonomy places the organism in Eukaryota, Metazoa, Chordata, Amphibia, Anura, Pelobatidae. The record is from the annotation of a GenBank genome assembly.
GGAACACAAGGGGAUGGUCACUUAUUGUCUCCAUAGGUACGCCUUAUCUCCACCUUUUGGGCCAGGCUUGGUAAUCCACAGGGUAUAUAUCCAAAGAUAUUGAGAUGUGAUGUAUAUAUCCAAUGUACUCGCUUGGGGCAAAAUCUAAAUUUGAGUAAGUCACCAUCUUCCGUGCCAAAGACCCCUUGGGCAGAAGCUUUACUUUGAAAAUCUAAGGAAUAAGUGUUUAAG